RNAcentral lists this long non-coding RNA (3017 nucleotides) under Corvus moneduloides (New Caledonian crow). RNAcentral's name for it is "lncRNA (ENSCMUG00000019596.1)". Lineage: Eukaryota; Metazoa; Chordata; Aves; Passeriformes; Corvidae. The record is from RNAcentral.
AUGUUCCCUUGUGUGCAGCCAUCUGUUGAGCUCCCUCCUCCCUCCUCCUGCGGGGAAGCGGUAGCCAGCUUGCCCGGCCAGCUGCACGCCUCGGACGAGGAGGAACGAGGAGAGAAGAAGGGGACAGCCAGCCCAAGCCCCGCCGCUGCCGGCUCCCGGCGGCGCCCGCUCCCGCCGUGGGAACCGGCGCUGCGCGGCCACCCCGCCGUGGGAACCGGCCCGGCGCUGGGAACCGACCCCGGCCCCGGCAAAAGCAUCCUGUGCUCCCCCAGCCACACAGUGAGCAGCAGUACGUGCCACCCCUGUGCAAGACAGAGCUGGGAAUAAAAGGUGAGCCACCGUCUUCCGGAGGUUUAGAGUUUUCCCUCCAUCCCUAACUGCUUUUUUUUUUUUUUUUAUCCUGUUUCAAUCUCUCCUCCUCCUCCUUCUCCUCUCUUGUUAGCUGGUUGGUGGGGAGAAGCAGAGGCUGGAGGGUGGGAUGAGGCAAGGCAUCCUUGUCCGGCAGCCCCCCUGACCCCUGGCACCCCCGGGCUCUGCACCGUAGCCGCAGCGCUGGCUGCCUUGGCUAUCAAAAGAAACUUCCGAACACUGAGAUGUUGAGGGCUGGGAAGAGAUAAAGGCUGGCUUGAGCAAGCUGCUUCUUGUCCUAAAACUUGGCACCUGGACCUAUUGAGGCAAAUGUAUGAAUGGCUCAGCCAUUCAUUACAAAGAAAUCUUGAGAUUUUAAUUUUUAUUGCAAUUUUUAUAUGUUUUUUGGGUUUUUUGGGUUUUUUUUGUUUUUUUCCUGGGAGUUUCCAUCUUAUUCAUGGUGUGCAGCAGGGGAGAAGGAAAUAUGUGCUCUGGGAAUCACCCCAGCCUCCCUGUCUGCUUGCAGACACUGCAAGAGAUUAAACCAUCCUGGCUGCCUUAGCAUGGGACAUUCCUGAGUUGCAUUAACCAGGCUGGAAAUCUGUCAGAGCAGCAGCAAACUGGAAAAAAGCGUUUUAUCUUUACCAUAGCUGACAGAGGGCCAUGUGCUGUGCGUAAUAUCUGAGUGCCAGUGUCUGUGGGGUUUCUUUUCCUUCCCCUUUCUCCCUUCCUGGUUCUUUUUUGCAGUCUGUGUCUCUGUGAUGGUGACUCCUCUCCUUUCCCCUGAUUCUUGCCAGCAGAUCAAACCCAGGGGUGGGGAGAGAAAUCACAGAAUGGGUUGGGUUGGACCUUAAAGAUCAUCCAGUUUCAACACCCCGGCCAUGGGCAGGGACACUUUCCACCAGACCAGUUUAUUCAAAGCCCUGUCCAACCUGGUCUUGAACACUUUCAGGGAUGGGGACUAUUUUUUCAAGGAAGUUUUUUUUUUUUACUUCAAAUAAGAUAAUCUUCCUCAGGAAAAAUUGAGACUCAAACUCCUAUUGUGACAGAUGGGUCAAACCAGACAUGAUUCCUCCACCCCAUCAGGUCUGAUGUGACACAUGUGCAUGGGACUUGUGUCACUUGUCUCCAAGUGGGGCAGGACAUGUCCCUGACCCCAAAAUUGCCUGUUUUCCUCCCAUCCUUGAGAAUGAGAUUUCUAUAGCAGUCAGCAUGGUGAGGCCAAACUUCACAUAGCAGGAUGGAGUAGAUCCUUCCUCCAAAGCACUUUAAUCCCAUGGCAAAAGUUCAGUUUACAUACAAAGUACAGCCCCUCUGUCUAUCCGGGACCAAAGCAUUGCAACCUCUUGCAAGAAAUCUCCAACUCAAAGAAUUAUAGGAUAACUGAACCUGGCCAGUUUCAUCCAUCCUGCCCCUCUCCCCUGGCCUGGCUGCCCAUUUAGCAGAGGGCAAAGCAGGGUUGCUGUCCCUAGAGCGUCCAGGAAGGCAGGAGCUGGACAUGGUGCCCAAGGACAGUGGUGACAUUUGGCUGGACCAGUUAUGGCAGUGGCAGAAGUGGGGACUUCUGUGUGGGGUGAGACCAGGCCACCUUGGCUUGUCCUCCCUUCCCAGUUAAACUGGUGGGACUUAAACCUGGGGAUGGCAGCCCUACGCCCACACAGGAGUGAACACCUCUCGGACCUAGUGCUAGUCAUCCUUAAAGUGUCAGGAGAGAAACUGAGGCACACAAAUGGGGACUCAUAGUACAUCAGUGGUGAGAAAUUGGUCCUGCUGGGGAAAUGCUCUCCCAACCCACUUCAGAUGAUCUUUCUCCAAAAUCCUGCACCAGCCAAGAGGGACUGGAGGAUUCUGGGCCAAGGAGGGAGGAAAAGAAUUGAGGAGAUAUCACACAUUGUGGGGGCAAUGAAGCAUCAUCUCCAGUGGGAAUCAUGGUGGGGAUGACACACUAAUGGCAAACCCUUUAUCAGCUCUACCUACACCCCUUCCCCCUCCACAAAUCGCCCCUUCCCAAACCUUGUAGGAGACCCAAGGUUGUAGUAAAUGUCUCAUGUGCUUCACUGGGGUUGGGGGCAGCUCCUGGAGCCCCAGCUGAUGCUCUACCGAGCAGUUUCACUGGCAUUCAUUGUUCGCAGCAUCACGAUGCAAGAAUUUAUUGGAAGGGGGGGGGGGGGUGAAGAAAGGCCAUGAGGGGAAUGAGAUGGGAGCCUCCAGCUGUGUGUUUGCAACAAUAAUGGCCAGGAUUGUAUUUAUUAUCUCCUCAGCGGAGGGUCUGCAGCUGCACACUGAGAGCCACAGACGGCAAAGGGGCCUAGAGAUUAUUGUGCAUGGAAAAAAAAACCCAACCACAAAAAUAAAUAAAAAGCCCACAAAGAAUCCCUGGGCCAGCUGGAGCAGUGCCAAGGGGCACCCAGCUUAACUCCCAGUCUCCUCUCUUCGCCCUUCCUUACUGAAGUCAGCAGCCCCGCAGGGCUGAUAGGAGAAGGGAGAUUGGCAGCUGCUGCCUUUCAGAGAGAUAAAGCUGCAUGGGGUCCUCUUAAAAUCCUUCUGCCAGGGCUGGAGGUGUUUCCCAGCCAGGUUGAAUUUCUUUUCCCUCUGCUUUCUCAUGAUAUUUCCAGUGCUAGCUGAACCAUGACCAAGGCAUGCCACUGGAGGCAGCACUUGGACCUGAU